GGAAUGAUUGAAUACAAGAAGAAGUAUAUUAUGUAUGAAAUUGUUAUUAUGGGAUUAUUAUAACUGUUGCAACACCUUUUUUGACAAUAUUAUAGAAUAUAUAAACAUUCACAUGUUCACACAGUACCAAUAAAAAUAGCUGAUAAAUGAAUAAACGAAUAAGUUGAAGAAAAUGAAUAACUAUACAAAUAUUGGUUUUGGUGAUGAAGUGAAAAAUUACAUUUUGUAGAACUGCCAAUAAAUAAUGCCAUUUUGUAUUUACAAACUCGACUUUUCUUUAAUAAAAAAACAGACGUGCAACACAGAAAAACAAGUCAUAGGCUUAUCAUUGUGUACGCCAUUGUGUGUUUCGUUUAAAAAAAUCAUCAGCGGCUCUAUUAAAAGGUUAAAAGGUACAGCACCAACAAACACAUGGUGUACAUAGCCGGACUUUGUGCAGGCCCAACAUAUGCUUGGAGUUGCGUCUAAGAACGUUUUUUACACUUGAUAUUAUCUCAAACACUUUCAAAUACUUUAAAAACUAGAGGCUCUCAAGAGCCUGUGUCGCUCACCUUGGGUCUAUGUACAUAUCAAACAAUAAACAUGACAAAAUUGUGUUUUGGUGAUGGUGAUGUGUUUGUAGAUCUUACUUUAUUGAACAUUCUUGUUGUAACAAUUACAUGUAUCUAUAAUGAACUUGGCCCAGUAUUUACAGUGGAAAAGUAUUUUCUAAAAAUUUACAAAAAUUUACAAAAAAUUAUGACUAUUGGUCUAUGUGGAUAUUAAACAAACAACGCAGAUGGUAACAUGACAAAAUUGUGUUUUGGUGAUUGUGAUGUGUUUGUAUUGAACAUUAUUGCUGCCUUCAAUUAUCUCUAUCUAUAAUGAACUUGGCCCAGUAGUUUCAGUGGAAAAUGUUAGUAAAAAUUUACAAAGUUUAUGAAAAGUUUAUGACUAUAAAGGCCAAUAACUCCUAAGGGGGUCAACUGAACAAUUUCGGUCAUGUUGACUUAUUUGUAAAUCUUACUUUGCUGAACAUUAUUGCUGUUUACAGUUUAUCUCUAUCUAUAAUAAUAUUCAAGAUAAUAACCCAAAACAGCAAAAUUUCCUUAAAAUUACCAAUUUAGGGGCAGCAACCCAACAACAGGUUGUCCGAUUCAUCUGAAAAU
RNAcentral lists this long non-coding RNA (1148 nucleotides) under Mytilus galloprovincialis (Mediterranean mussel). The record is from RNAcentral. Lineage: Eukaryota; Metazoa; Mollusca; Bivalvia; Mytilida; Mytilidae.